Molecule: small nuclear RNA, 107 nt
Organism: Sciurus carolinensis (gray squirrel)
Lineage: Eukaryota; Metazoa; Chordata; Mammalia; Rodentia; Sciuridae
Source: RefSeq, a predicted model, not a curated record
GGGCUCACUUCGGCAGCACAUAUACUGUAACUGGAACAAUACAGAGAAGAUUAGCAUGGCCCCUGAGCAAGAAUGACAUGUAAAUAAAUGAAUCAUUCCAUGUUUUU